This 1874-nucleotide long non-coding RNA is filed under the name Diabrotica virgifera virgifera (western corn rootworm). RNAcentral describes it as "uncharacterized LOC126891864". Lineage: Eukaryota; Metazoa; Arthropoda; Insecta; Coleoptera; Chrysomelidae. The record is from RNAcentral.
UUUCAUUUUUAGUGGCCGUUACUGACAGGUUUUACUGUAAUUGGUUUGGGGAAUUUUUAAACUGGCCGUUAGUACAGGUGGCCGGUGUUUGCAGGGGGCCGGUAACACAGGUUUUACUGUAGUUUAAAUCGAAAAGAUUAAAUCUUAAUUCAAAAUUGUAUAUAUACAAUUAUUACAAUUAUAAACUAUAUAUAGUUUAGUAUCCAAAACAUGUUUUUGAUUUUAUGUAAUGUAAUGAAAAUCUUAUUUGUAAAUUAUUGGUUACAACUGUUUAACAAUAGGAAAUAUUCAAGAAUAAAUAAAAUAAAAGUUUAAUCCUAACAACACAAAACAUUCCAGGAAUGUAGGUACUACCGUUCUAUUCCGUGAACAUCUAUCUGAUUAAAUUAUGGGUGGAAAGUUACCACAAGAUAUUCUAUGAACAUAGUACAAUGUCUUCCUGGAGGGGUAAAAUUUUCCAUUACAAGAUUUUAAGAGAGGCCAUUUACUAUUCAAUUUGCGUUCAUUUUCAAAUUUGCCGCGCGAGUAUCUAUGUAGUGUCACGUGGUCAUUGGCAUUCAUUGGUCAUCACAUUUCAUAUAUUUAUUUCAUUUUCAUGGGAUAACCGAUAACUUAAAAAUUUAGUAAAAAUUUUGAUUGGAAAAAAAUGCAUCGAUAACUGUCGAUAAGGGGGUGUGGGAAAUGGAAAUUAGUGGCUUUUUUGCUGUACUGUCUGCCAGUUUUUGCUCUGGGCUCUGGCUGGAUCUCUUGUUUAAACAAUUUUAAUCAGCUGAAAGUGGCCUACAAAAAAAAAACCAAGAAGGAAAUGUAUAGCCUUGUGGCUAUGAAAGGCAAACGAGAGAUAUAAAAAGUGUAUUGGCUAGUUGGAAGAAAGUCCACAUUGUCCAUGCAUAAUAAGUUAUUACUUUAUCAACAAAUAUCAAGAAGAUGCAGGGUCACGAGCAUCAACUUCAUAAGUUCAAGAAUAUCGAGGAAAUCCAGCUCCUCGAUACUACUGGGCAAACUAGAAGAUUGAAGAGGACAAAUCCUUUUGAACUAGUUUGAGUGAUAGGUGAUAGUGAAAAACGGAGCAUAGUGCUUGUGUGCUGUGCCUGUGUAUGUUAGAAUAAUAGUGCACGAUCUUGUUAGAUUAGAUAAGAGACGCUAUGGGGUAAGCUCUUCAUUUUAAGAAACAGUAGUAAUUUAGGUUAAAUUAAAAUUGCUCAUUGGUCAGUUAUGACCAGAUUGUUUUUUUAUGUUUGGCAAAAAGGACUUAAGUCAGAAUUGCACAUUGAUAAUGUUUUGAUGAUUUCUGGACCAGAAAAAAACUGUUGUAGAUGUAAACUGUAUGUACAGUAGAAUCUACUACAGUACUGUAGAAAUCAUCAAAACAUUAUCGAUGUGCAAUUCUGACUUAAGCCCUUUUUCCCAAACAUCAGAGAAUUGUAAUGUACAAUAAUUCUCCUAUCUGCUUUUUCAUGAAUUUUGUAGGAGACGAAAAACCAUUUUUAGGAUCGUCUGCUUUCACAUGUAAAUUUUGACAUGUUUUGUAGUAAAUAGAUAGUUGAAUUUACUACAAAACAUGUCAAAAAAUAUAUGAAAACAGGAGGUGACUAUAAAAAAAGUUUUUAGUCUCUCUUACAAAACUCAUGAAAAACAAAUCGGAGAUAUGUCACAUCGGUGACUAUAUCCAGGGAAUGUCUAAAAAAUAUACUUUGAUGUCCCAAGAACCAAAUAUAACCUACAGUCCAUCUAAUUUACUUACCGUUGCACGUCAUUAUCUACGCCAGAGAUCUAAGUUGACAUAGUUGCCAAAGUAUAAAAAGAUCCUGAAUCCAUUUUAAAUCAAAUUUAUCACAUAAUUAUUGUAAACGUGGAUUAUACAACAAAACAAA